GGAUGUGAGAGCGAUCUGGCUGCGACAUGUCACCCCAUUGAUCGCCAGGGUUGAUUCGGCUGAUCUGGCUGGCUAGGCAGGUGUCCCCCUCCUCCCUCACCGAUCCAUGUGCGUCCCUCCCGAAGCUGCACGCUGGGUCGAAGAGGACGACCUCCCCCCCCCCCCCCGCGCCCGCCCAGGAGAGGACCGGUCUUCAGGCAAGGGUAUACGAGUAGCUGCGCUCCCCUGCUAGAACCUCCAAACAAGCUCUCAAGGUCCAUUUGAAUUGUUUGGAGGUUUAUUUUGGUGUUGAGUUCUUCAUAAAUUUUGGAUAUAAACUCCUUAUCAGAUGUAUCAUUGGGAAAUAUAUUCUUCCAUUCAGU
Molecule: unclassified non-coding RNA, 362 nt
Organism: Myotis lucifugus (little brown bat)
Lineage: Eukaryota; Metazoa; Chordata; Mammalia; Chiroptera; Vespertilionidae
Gene: 7SK
Rfam family: 7SK RNA
About the family: 7SK was discovered as an abundant small nuclear RNA in the mid-70s but a possible function has only recently been suggested. Two independent studies have found that 7SK RNA binds the CDK9/cyclin T complex (known as elongation factor P-TEFb). P-TEFb activates transcription by phosphorylating the C-terminal domain of RNA polymerase II.
Source: Ensembl